Molecule: ribosomal RNA, 460 nt
Filed under: uncultured bacterium
Lineage: Bacteria
Description: bacterial SSU rRNA
Rfam family: Bacterial small subunit ribosomal RNA
Source: RNAcentral
AACGAACGCUGGCGGCAUGCCUAACACAUGCAAGUCGAACGAACCCUUCGGGGUUAGUGGCGCACGGGUGCGUAACGCGUGGGGAUCUGCCCAAAGGUUCGGAAUAACUCAGAGAAAUUUGAGCUAAUACCGGAUAAUGUCUUCGGACCAAAGAUUUAUUGCCUUUGGAUGAACCCGCGUAGGAUUAGCUUGUUGGUGGGGUAAAGGCCUACCAAGGCGACGAUCCUUAGCUGGUCUGAGAGGAUGAUCAGCCACACUGGGACUGAGACACGGCCCAGACUCCUACGGGAGGCAGCAGUGGGGAAUAUUGGACAAUGGGCGAAAGCCUGAUCCAGCAAUGCCGCGUGAGUGAUGAAGGCCUUAGGGUUGUAAAGCUCUUUUACCAGGGAUGAUAAUGACAGUACCUGGAGAAUAAAGCUCCGGCUAACUCCGUGCCAGCAGCCGCGUAAAGUAUCGUACG